CGCGUAGGCGGGAUGGCAAGUCAGUCGUGAAAUCUCUCGGCUCAACCGAGAAGCGUCGGCUGAUACUGCCGUUCUUGAGGGAUGCAGAGGAGACUGGAAUUCCCGGUGUAGCGGUGAAAUGUGUAGAGAUCGGGAGGAACACCGGUGGCGAAGGCGGGUCUCUGGGCAUCUCCUGACGCUGAGGCGCGAAAGCGUGGGAGCAAACG
RNAcentral lists this ribosomal RNA (206 nucleotides) under uncultured bacterium. Its description in RNAcentral is "partial 16S ribosomal RNA". It matches the Rfam family "Bacterial small subunit ribosomal RNA", at positions 568 to 774 of the family's 1533-position model. The record is from RNAcentral.